RNAcentral lists this long non-coding RNA (952 nucleotides) under Setaria viridis. RNAcentral describes it as "long non-coding RNA (SVIR_LNC007607)". Lineage: Eukaryota; Viridiplantae; Streptophyta; Magnoliopsida; Poales; Poaceae. The record is from RNAcentral.
GUUACAACCGACGACAGACCAAUUCAUAUAUGGUGUACAAUAUAAAGACUCACUCCAUUCUAAAUCGUAGGUCAUUUUGACUUUUCUAAAUGCAUAGUUUUUACUAUGCAUCUAAACAUACACUAUAUCUAAGUGCAUAAAGUCAAAAAGACAUAGAAUUUGAAACGGAGGGAGUACAAGACUUCAUCCGGGACAUGCUUUUAUUUACUUGACCUGUAUGAAUGGUCCAUGCGAACACAUCCAUGUCCAAUUAUUUGGAGGCUUGGCGUUUAUAUUCUUUAGCCAAUUCUGGGAACCUCGGCCACGAUGUCAACCCAGAGACGAACGCGAUUUGGGUCAAAAUCUUGGGGGACGAAGGUGCCAACCGGGACAGCCUCAACAUUCAGCUCCGGCCGCUCCGCCUUGAUCUUCUCGGUCGCCGCUUUGAUCGUGCAUCCCUUUAGCUCAGGCCACUCUGUCUUGGGAGUAGCAUCGGCGCACCCCUUGCUAUCAUCUGAUGAGCUCAUCUUCUUCAGAGAUACCUGCAGAUUUUCUGCACAUUUGUUAAACAUGGGAAAGUCAGGCUGUAGAAAGUAGAAAUGAAGCAAACCAAAACUGCAGGCUUCAAUUCAGUUACUUCUUCUUCUUUUCGAAAUGCGCAUGACAAAUGAGAAGGUAGGUAAGCUAAGAAAGAACAAGAGGAGGAGAUUGAAACGGGAAAGUACUGCUCACCACAGAUGUAAGCACUUUGAACACGCUGAUGUGUGUUUAAUGGAUGAUAGAACGCAAUGCAAGUCGGGUUGUAUUUAUAGGCAAUCUUGAUUCAGCAAAACGUUUGUUCAAAGUCUUGUGUUUGCACAAGCAACCAUGAAAUUUCAAACCCUGACUGGUGAACCUUAUCCAGUUAUGGUAUGUCAUCGUCAAACCCUGACUGGUGAACCUUAUCCCAGUUAUGGUAUGUCAUCGUCAACUU